RNAcentral lists this ribosomal RNA (251 nucleotides) under uncultured bacterium. RNAcentral's name for it is "partial 16S ribosomal RNA". It matches the Rfam family "Bacterial small subunit ribosomal RNA", at positions 524 to 775 of the family's 1533-position model. The record is from RNAcentral.
GACGAGGGCGCGAGCGUUGUCCGGAUUUAUUGGGCGUAAAGAGCUCGUAGGCGGCUUGUCGCGUCGUCCGUGAAAACCUGCGGCUCAACUGCAGGCUGGCGGUCGAUACGGGCAGGCUAGAGUGCGGUAGGGGAGACUGGAAUUCCUGGUGUAGCGGUGAAAUGCGCAGAUAUCAGGAGGAACACCGGUGGCGAAGGCGGGUCUCUGGGCCGAUAUCGACGCUGAGGAGCGAAAGCGUGGGGAGCGAACGG